This 275-nucleotide ribosomal RNA is filed under the name uncultured bacterium. RNAcentral's name for it is "partial 16S ribosomal RNA". It matches the Rfam family "Bacterial small subunit ribosomal RNA", at positions 399 to 691 of the family's 1533-position model. The record is from RNAcentral.
GCGUGAGUGACGAAGGCCUUAGGGUUGUAAAGCUCUUUCGACGGGGAAGAUGAUGACGGUACCCGUAGAAGAAGCCCCGGCUAACUCCGUGCCAGCAGCCGCGGUAAUACGGAGGGGGCUAGCGUUGUUCGGAAUUACUGGGCGUAAAGCGCACGUAGGCGGCUCUGCAAGUCAGAGGUGAAAUCCCCAGGCUCAACCUGGGAAUUGCCUUUGAUACUGCAGGGCUAGAGGCCGGGAGAGGGUAGUGGAAUUCCCAGUGUAGAGGUGAAAUUCGU